RNAcentral lists this long non-coding RNA (569 nucleotides) under Rattus norvegicus (Norway rat). Its description in RNAcentral is "long non-coding RNA NONRATT026231". The record is from RNAcentral. Lineage: Eukaryota; Metazoa; Chordata; Mammalia; Rodentia; Muridae.
GACCCAGACGUAGACUUCCCCAACUCCUUUCACGCGUUCCAGACCGCGGAGGGCAUCCGAAAAGCCCACCCAGACAAGGUGGGCUGUUGUUGGAGACACUUUCCCCGUGGGCUGCCGUCCCCAGGCCUCCGUGGUGUUCUGCGACUCUACUUUCCAGGACAAUCCUGACCUCCAGGACCCUCGAUACAGCACAGAACUUGGCAUGUACCAGCCCCACUGUGGACUUGAGAAUGUCCUUAUGUCCUGGGGCCAUGAUGAGUACCUAUACCAGAUGAUGAAGUUCAACAAGUUCUCCCUACCUUCAGAGCAAGUUUGACCUCUACACCAAGUGCCCUGACCUACCGGAAGUGAAGAGCCUGCGGCCCUACUAUCAGGGGCUGAUUGACAAGUACUGCCCGGGCAUCCUGAGCUGGUGAAUGGUUUCUAAUACCUUCUCUCUCACUGCUGAGGGGCACCAAGGCUGGACAACUUCAGGGACAAUAAUAGCCCAUGCCACCUGUCCACAGUCCCCACCCAUCACAGUUGAGGUCACUUUUGCCUGGCUAUCAAUAAAGCAUAAAAGAGAUUAC